This 109-nucleotide ribosomal RNA is filed under the name Blatta orientalis (oriental cockroach). RNAcentral's name for it is "partial 5.8S ribosomal RNA". The stretch from base 35 to 109 matches the Rfam family "5.8S ribosomal RNA", at positions 1 to 96 of the family's 154-position model. Rfam says of the family: 5.8S ribosomal RNA (5.8S rRNA) is a component of the large subunit of the eukaryotic ribosome. Lineage: Eukaryota; Metazoa; Arthropoda; Insecta; Blattodea; Blattidae. The record is from RNAcentral.
CGCGUCGUUUUGGAUUUAUAUGAACUAUCAUUACAACCCUGAACGGUGGAUCACUCGGCUCGUGGGUCGAUGAAGAACGCAGCAAAUGCGCGUCGACAUCACUGUCGAC